Molecule: unclassified non-coding RNA, 484 nt
Filed under: Nautilocalyx pemphidius
Lineage: Eukaryota; Viridiplantae; Streptophyta; Magnoliopsida; Lamiales; Gesneriaceae
Description: partial contains external transcribed spacer and 18S ribosomal RNA
Rfam family: Eukaryotic small subunit ribosomal RNA (bases 438-484)
Source: RNAcentral
GAGUGGUGAUUGACGUGUAUUGGUACAUUGGAUCCCUGCUUGGGCAGCGACAGCGUACCUGGCUCGUCUCUUCAGAUGUUGGCAUAGGCGCAUUGAGCCUUGGCCGAAUGGUGUUUUCCUGUGCUAUAUACCCAUACAAAGGUACUGAAUUUGCUCAAUUACAUUUGUUCGCUUCUAGCUGCGUCCCCUCGGAUUUUGGYAUGAAGUGAACGUUGAAGUAUUGAUUGUGUUCCACUCUCCUUGCAUGCUCGUGCAUGGGUUGGUGGGCCAUGAUCCUUGCUUGAUCUCUUGGUUGUGGAAUACCUUGUGGGCAUGAGGCAGUAGUCUCUUUUCGCCCCUUAUUGAGCGUUUAACGCAACAUUCAAAUGACGGUUGUGGUCGUUUUAACUAGGUCUUUAUGGCUUGGCUCAUACGAUCCCGACGUCGAUGAGGAAUGCUACCUGGUUGAUCCUGCCAGUAGUCAUAUGCUUGUCUCAAAGAUUAA